CAGUCGAGGGGCAUCGGGGCGAGGAGCAAUCCUUGCCGCCGGCGACCGGCGCACGGGUGAGUAACGCGUAUGCGACCUGCCCGUUGCAGGGGGAUAAUCGGGAGAAAUCCCGUCUAAUACCGCGUAACGCCGCGGGGCUGCAUGGCCCUGCGGCCAAAGGGAGCGAUUCCGGCAACGGAUGGGCAUGCGUGACAUUAGCUAGUUGGCGGGGCAACGGCCCACCAAGGCGACGAUGUCUAGGGGUUCUGAGAGGAAGGUCCCCCACACUGGUACUGAGACACGGACCAGACUCCUACGGGAGGCAGCAGUGAGGAAUAUUGGUCAAUGGGCGCGAGCCUGAACCAGCCAAGUCGCGUGAGGGAUGACGGCCCUACGGGUUGUAAACCUCUUUUGUCGGGGAGCAAAUUCCGUUACGUGUAACGGAGUCGAGAGUACCCGAAGAAAAAGCAUCGGCUAACUCCGUGCCAGCAGCCGCGGUAAUACGGAGGAUGCGAGCGUUAUCCGGAUUUAUUGGGUUUAAAGGGUGCGUAGGCGGAUUUUUAAGUCAGCGGUAAAAUGUCCGGGCUCAACCCGGGCCGGCCGUUGAAACUGGGGAUCUUGAGUGGGCGAGAAGUAUGCGGAAUGCGUGGUGUAGCGGUGAAAUGCAUAGAUAUCACGCAGAACUCCGAUUGCGAAGGCAGCAUACCGGCGCCCGACUGACGCUGAGGCACGAAAGCGUGGGGAUCGAACAGGAUUAGAUACCCUGGUAGUCCACGCAGUAAACGAUGAAUGCUAGUUGUCCGGU
RNAcentral lists this ribosomal RNA (784 nucleotides) under uncultured bacterium. Its description in RNAcentral is "bacterial SSU rRNA". It matches the Rfam family "Bacterial small subunit ribosomal RNA", at positions 59 to 828 of the family's 1533-position model. The record is from RNAcentral.